Molecule: ribosomal RNA, 212 nt
Filed under: Cirrhitichthys oxycephalus (coral hawkfish)
Lineage: Eukaryota; Metazoa; Chordata; Actinopteri; Centrarchiformes; Cirrhitidae
Description: partial 16S ribosomal RNA
Source: RNAcentral
UGCUUAACAGCUAGCCCGCCAACCCUAAAAAAAGAACAAAUAUUAAUAAACCCAAAUACACUAGACUUGCAACUAAACAAACCAUUUUUCCACUCAAGUAUAGGUGACAGAAAAAGAAAUUCGGCGCAAUAGAGAAAGUACCGCAAGGGAAUGCUGAAAGAGAAAUGAAAUAACCCAGUAAUGCUUAGAAAAGCAGAGCUUUCCCCUCGUAU